This is a small nucleolar RNA of Dipodomys ordii (Ord's kangaroo rat), 132 nucleotides long. Its record names the gene SNORA72. It matches the Rfam family "Small nucleolar RNA SNORA72". Rfam says of the family: U72 is a member of the H/ACA class of snoRNAs. The snoRNA gene is located in intron 4 of the ribosomal L30 protein gene in human, mouse and chicken. NCBI's taxonomy places the organism in Eukaryota, Metazoa, Chordata, Mammalia, Rodentia, Heteromyidae. The record is from Ensembl.
CUGCGAAUAUUCUCACUGUAUUGAUUUUGUAAUAAUCGGCACAGGCUAAACAUUCUCUGCACUAAGAACAUGCAUGUGUCCCCAGACCUAGGUCUUUCCCUAGGCCUGUUUUUAUAAAUGCUGGUGAUAAAC